RNAcentral lists this ribosomal RNA (587 nucleotides) under uncultured bacterium. RNAcentral describes it as "partial 16S ribosomal RNA". It matches the Rfam family "Bacterial small subunit ribosomal RNA", at positions 355 to 1375 of the family's 1533-position model. The record is from RNAcentral.
UGGGGAAUCUUCCGCAAUGGACGAAAGUCUGACGGAGCAACGCCGCGUGAGUGAAGAAGGUUUUCGGAUCGUAAAACUCUGUCUUUUGGGGCGAACGUGAGUAUGGUGAACAAUCAUAGUCAGUGACGGUACCAAAGGAGGAAGCCACGGCUAACUACGUGCCAGCAGCCGCGGUAAUACGUAGGUGGCAAGCGUUGUCCGGAAUUAUUGGGCGUAAAGAGCGCGUAGGCGGGAUAGUCAGUCUGUUGUAAAGUGCGGGGCUCAACCCCGUGAUGGCAAUGGAAACAGCUAUUCUUGAGUGCAGGAGAGGAAAGUGGAAUUCCCAGUGUAGCGGUGAAAUGCGUAGAUAUUGGGAGGAACACCAGUGGCGAAGGCGACUUUCUGGACUGUGUCUGACGCUGAGGCGCGAAAGCCAGGGGAGCGAACGGGAUUAGAUACCCCGGUAGUCCUGACCGUAAACGAUGGGUACUAGGUGUGGGAGGUAUCGACCCCUUCCGUGCCGGAGUUAACGCAAUAAGUACCCCGCCUGGGGAGUACGGUCGCAAGACUGAAACUUAAAUGAAUUGACGGGGUCAUAGCUGUUUCCU